RNAcentral lists this ribosomal RNA (459 nucleotides) under uncultured bacterium. Its description in RNAcentral is "partial 16S ribosomal RNA". It matches the Rfam family "Bacterial small subunit ribosomal RNA", at positions 338 to 795 of the family's 1533-position model. The record is from RNAcentral.
CCUACGGGAGGCAGCAGUGAGGAAUAUUGGUCAAUGGGCGCGAGCCUGAACCAGCCAAGUCGCGUGAGGGAAGACGGUCCUAUGGAUUGUAAACCUCUUUUGUCGGGGAGCAAAAGACGCCACGCGUGGCGUUCCGAGAGUACCCGAAGAAAAAGCAUCGGCUAACUCCGUGCCAGCAGCCGCGGUAAUACGGAGGAUGCGAGCGUUAUCCGGAUUUAUUGGGUUUAAAGGGUGCGCAGGCGGAAGAUUAAGUCAGCGGUAAAAUUGAGGGGCUCAACCUCUUCGAGCCGUUGAAACUGGGUGUCUUGAGUGAGUGAGAAGUAUGCGGAAUGCGUGGUGUAGCGGUGAAAUGCAUAGAUAUCACGCAGAACUCCGAUUGCGAAGGCAGCAUACCGGCGCUCAACUGACGCUCAUGCACGAAAGUGUGGGUAUCGAACAGGAUUAGAUACCCCAGUAGUC